GCACUAUACGGUGAAACUGCGAAUGGCUCAUUAAAUCAGUUAUCGUUUAUUUGAUAGUACCUUACUACAUGGAUAACCGUGGUAAUUCUAGAGCUAAUACAUGCUAAAAACCUCGACUUCGGAAGGGGUGUAUUUAUUAGAUAAAAAACCAAUGCCCUUCGGGGCUCCUUGGUGAAUCAUAAUAACUUAACGAAUCGCAUGGCCUUGCGCCGGCGAUGGUUCAUUCAAAUUUCUGCCCUAUCAACUUUCGAUGGUAGGAUAGUGGCCUACCAUGGUAUCAACGGGUAACGGGGAAUUAGGGUUCGACUCCGGAGAGGGAGCCUGAGAAACGGCUACCACAUCCAAGGAAGGCAGCAGGCGCGCAAAUUACCCAAUCCCGACACGGGGAGGUAGUGACAAUAAAUACUGAUACAGGGCUCUUUUGGGUCUUGUAAUUGGAAUGAGUACAAUUUAAAUCCCUUAACGAGGAACAAUUGGAGGGCAAGUCUGGUGCCAGCAGCCGCGGUAAUUCCAGCUCCAAUAGCGUAUAUUAAAGUUGUUGCAGUUAAAAAGCUCGUAGUUGAACCUUGGGCCUGGCUGGCCGGUCCGCCUCACCGCGUGUACUGGUCCGGCCGGGCCUUUCCUUCUGGGGAACCUCAUGCCCUUCACUGGGCGUGUUGGGGAACCAGGACUUUUACUUUGAAAAAAUUAGAGUGUUCAAAGCAGGCCUUUGCUCGAAUACAUUAGCAUGGAAUAAUAGAAUAGGACGUGUGGUUCUAUUUUGUUGGUUUCUAGGACCGCCGUAAUGAUUAAUAGGGAUAGUCGGGGGGCAUCAGUAUUCAAUCGUCAGAGGUGAAAUUCUUGGAUUGAUUGAAGACUAACUACUGCGAAAGCAUUUGCCAAGGGAUGUUUUCAUUAAUCAGUGAACGAAAGUUAGGGGAUCGAAGACGAUCAGAUACCGUCGUAGUCUUAACCAUAAACUAUGCCGACUAGGGAUCGGACGGUGUUAGUAUUUUGACCCGUUCGGCACCUUACGAGAAAUCAAAGUUUUUGGGU
RNAcentral lists this ribosomal RNA (1035 nucleotides) under Zasmidium cellare. Its description in RNAcentral is "SSU rRNA". It matches the Rfam family "Eukaryotic small subunit ribosomal RNA", at positions 71 to 1112 of the family's 1831-position model. Lineage: Eukaryota; Fungi; Ascomycota; Dothideomycetes; Mycosphaerellales; Mycosphaerellaceae. The record is from RNAcentral.